GGCUGCAUCGUCCUGCUCCAGCGCGCACACGAUCUGAAAGAAGGAGAGAGAUUUAACCUGGACGAGAGACAUCUUUAGAUUGAACUCAAGAUGAGGCAAGAAGAUCUGGCUGCAGACCUCAACGACCAGAUGUCCUCACAUGUCGCUCUAAAAAAAACUAUUUUAAAUGGUCACCAGAACAGUUUUUUUUUCAUUUUAAGCUUUAAUAAAACUUUUUUUUGAAUGAUUUUGGGUUAGAGUUGGGGUGAGUUGUGUAAUUCCCACUUUCACCCGAUGAUGUCAUGCACCAUCUCGUCUCCAGCCAGGUCCCUUUCAGAUGAGUUCCCAUUCAUUUCCAAGUUGAAGUGGAUUCAUCUGCUUCUUUUAUGGACAACUUUUCUCUAUGCUCAUGUGGUAAAGGAUAAUUGGCCUUAAACACAAGUGUUAACUGGCUUAGAUGGGACACUACCAAAUCUAAGGCCGUGGUUCUCAACCUGAAGAAAUACGUCCAAAACAAAGGAACAAUAGAGUGUGAACAAACGAUCACAUCAGUAGGAAUGGUUUUUUUAUGUUUUGGUGAGGAGAAAUCUGGGUUGGAAAAUGAAAUUCUUACCAGUCCUCCUCAUCUAUGGGCAUGAAUUAUGGGUUGAGUAGAAGAAAUCUAUCUUUGAGAUAAUGUGCAAAGCUAUCUUAAAUCUAUGAGAUUUAUCUCUGUGGGUUUAGGAACAUCUCUAUGUUCUCCUGGAAGAGGAGACUGUCUUUAUUCCUACCUGAACAUAAGCAGGACAAGACGAACAGAUAGACAAAAGUAAAGGAAACCUCUAAUAAUGAUUCAAAUUUCACAGUAUUUCAGUGAAGCGUUACAUACCUCUUCAGUGUAUUUCCCCACAUAGGAGUAAAUCUCACUUAGAGAGCUCAUGGAGUUGAACUCAUUCAUGUGCAUCCUUGACUGCUCAGCUAAGUAGGCGUUCAUAUCCUGGUCACUGAUAGCUGGCAUCUUAUUAAUGUCUGAGUAGUACCUGUAAAAAAAGAAA
This is a long non-coding RNA of Oryzias melastigma (Indian medaka), 1013 nucleotides long. RefSeq lists it as uncharacterized. The record is from RefSeq and is a predicted model, not a curated record. NCBI's taxonomy places the organism in Eukaryota, Metazoa, Chordata, Actinopteri, Beloniformes, Adrianichthyidae. The transcript is spliced from 2 exons.